GAUGAACGCUAGCUACAGGCUUAACACAUGCAAGUCGAGGGGUAACGAGAGGAAAGCUUGCUUUCCUUGUCGACGACCGGCGCACGGGUGAGUAACGCGUAUCCAACCUGCCCCCAACUAGGGAAUAACCUUGCGAAAGUAAGACUAAUACCCUAUAAUUUCCUCAGAUGUCAUCUGACGAGGAAUAAAGAUUUAUCGGUUGUGGAUGGGGAUGCGUCUGAUUAGCUUGUUGGCGGGGUAACGGCCCACCAAGGCAACGAUCAGUAGGGGUUCUGAGAGGAAGGUCCCCCAAAUUGGAACCGAGACACGAUCCAAACUCCUACGGGAGGCAGCAGUGAGGAAUAUUGGUCAAUGGGCGGAAGCUUGAACCAGCCAAGUAGCGUGCAGGAUGACGGCCCUAUGGGUUGUAAACUGCUUUUAUACAGGAAUAAAGUUAGCCACGUGUGGUUAUUUGUAGGUACUGUAUGAAUAAGGACCGGCUAAUUCCGUGCCAGCCGCCGCAGUAA
Molecule: ribosomal RNA, 506 nt
Filed under: uncultured bacterium
Lineage: Bacteria
Description: partial 16S ribosomal RNA
Rfam family: Bacterial small subunit ribosomal RNA
Source: RNAcentral